This 253-nucleotide ribosomal RNA is filed under the name uncultured bacterium. Its description in RNAcentral is "partial 16S ribosomal RNA". It matches the Rfam family "Bacterial small subunit ribosomal RNA", at positions 524 to 776 of the family's 1533-position model. The record is from RNAcentral.
GACGGAGGAGGCAAGCGUUAUCCGGAAUUAUUGGGCGUAAAGGGCGCGUAGGCGGCUAGAUGUGUCAAAGGUGAAAUCCCUCGGCUCAACUGAGGAACUGCCUUUGAAACUGUCUGGCUUGAGGCCGGGAGAGGGUAGCGGAAUUCCCAGUGUAGCGGUGAAAUGCGUAGAUAUUGGGAGGAACACCAGUGGCGAAGGCGGCUACCUGGACCGGUUCUGACGCUGAGGCGCGAAAGCGUGGGUAGCAAACAGG